GACAUCACACACAGCAGACGCACCAAGCCACCAGCAAAUUCACCCAGCAGCUCCACCUUAGUUUCACCUGAAAACACAGAGACAAAGAAAGAAACCAGCAGACCAGGCAGGACCAGGGGCAAACAACAACAGAUGUGCACGCAGUACACACA
Long non-coding RNA from Thalassophryne amazonica, 152 nucleotides. RefSeq lists it as uncharacterized. The transcript has 3 exons. Lineage: Eukaryota; Metazoa; Chordata; Actinopteri; Batrachoidiformes; Batrachoididae. The record is from RefSeq and is a predicted model, not a curated record.